UACGUAGGGGGCAAGCGUUGUCCGGAUUUAUUGGGCGUAAAGAGCGUGUAGGCGGCUAGAUAGGUCCGUUGUGAAAACUCGAGGCUCAACCUCGAGACGUCGAUGGAAACCAUCUGGCUAGAGUCCGGAAGAGGAGAGUGGAAUUCCUGGUGUAGCGGUGAAAUGCGCAGAUAUCAGGAAGAACACCCGUGGCGAAGGCGGCUCUCUGGUCCGGUACUGACGCUGAGGUGCGAAAGCGUGGGGAGCAAACAGG
Molecule: ribosomal RNA, 253 nt
Filed under: uncultured bacterium
Lineage: Bacteria
Description: partial 16S ribosomal RNA
Rfam family: Bacterial small subunit ribosomal RNA
Source: RNAcentral